AUUGAACGCUGGCGGCAUGCCUUACACAUGCAAGUCGAACGGUAACGGGUCCUUCGGGAUGCCGACGAGUGGCGAACGGGUGAGUAAUAUAUCGGAACGUGCCCAGUAGUGGGGGAUAACUGCUCGAAAGAGCUGCUAAUACCGCAUACGACCUGAGGGUGAAAGGGGGGGAUCGCAAGACCUCUCGCUAUUGGAGCGGCCGAUAUCAGAUUAGCUAGUUGGUGGGGUAAAGGCCUACCAAGGCAACGAUCUGUAGUUGGUCUGAGAGGACGACCAGCCACACUGGGACUGAGACACGGCCCAGACUCCUACGGGAGGCAGCAGUGGGGAAUUUUGGACAAUGGGCGCAAGCCUGAUCCAGCAAUGCCGCGUGCAGGAAGAAGGCCUUCGGGUUGUAAACUGCUUUUGUCAGGGAAGAAAUCUUCUGGGCUAAUACCCCGGGAGGAUGACGGUACCUGAAGAAUAAGCACCGGCUAACUACGUGCCAGCAGCCGCGGUAAUACGUAGGGUGCGAGCGUUAAUCGGAAUUACUGGGCGUAAAGCGUGCGCAGGCGGCUUUGCAAGACAGAUGUGAAAUCCCCGGGCUCAACCUGGGAACUGCAUUUGUGACUGCAAGGCUAGAGUACGGCAGAGGGGGAUGGAAUUCCGCGUGUAGCAGUGAAAUGCGUAGAUAUGCGGAGGAACACCAAUGGCGAAGGCAAUCCCCUGGGCCUGUACUGACGCUCAUGCACGAAAGCGUGGGGAGCAAACAGGAUUAGAUACCCUGGUAGUCCACGCCCUAAACGAUGUCAACUGGUUGUUGGACGGCUUGCUGUUCAGUAACGAAGCUAACGCGUGAAGUUGACCGCCUGGGGAGUACGGCCGCAAGGUUGAGACUCAAAGGAAUUGACGGGGACCCGCACAAGCGGUGGAUGAUGUGGUUUAAUUCGAUGCAACGCGAAAAACCUUACCUACCCUUGACAUGUCAAGAAUUCUGCAGAGAUGUGGAAGUGCUCGAAAGAGAACUUGAACACAGGUGCUGCAUGGCCGUCGUCAGCUCGUGUCGUGAGAUGUUGGGUUAAGUCCCGCAACGAGCGCAACCCUUGUCAUUAGUUGCUACGCAAGAGCACUCUAAUGAGACUGCCGGUGACAAACCGGAGGAAGGUGGGGAUGACGUCAGGUCCUCAUGGCCCUUAUGGGUAGGGCUACACACGUCAUACAAUGGCCGGUACAGAGGGCUGCCAACCCGCGAGGGGGAGCCAAUCCCAGAAAACCGGUCGUAGUCCGGAUCGUAGUCUGCAACUCGACUGCGUGAAGUCGGAAUCGCUAGUAAUCGCGGAUCAGCUUGCCGCGGUGAAUACGUUCCCGGGUCU
This 1352-nucleotide ribosomal RNA is filed under the name uncultured bacterium. RNAcentral describes it as "bacterial SSU rRNA". It matches the Rfam family "Bacterial small subunit ribosomal RNA", at positions 28 to 1381 of the family's 1533-position model. The record is from RNAcentral.